This 207-nucleotide ribosomal RNA is filed under the name uncultured bacterium. RNAcentral's name for it is "partial 16S ribosomal RNA". It matches the Rfam family "Bacterial small subunit ribosomal RNA", at positions 568 to 774 of the family's 1533-position model. The record is from RNAcentral.
UUCGUAGGCGGUGUGGCAAGUCGGGAGUGAAAUCUCUGGGCUCAACUCAGAGUCUGCUUCCGAAACUGCUGUGCUGGAGUGUGGGAGAGGCGCGUGGAAUUGCAGGUGUAGCGGUGAAAUGCGUAGAUAUCUGCAGGAACACCCGUGGCGAAAGCGGCGCGCUGGACCACUACUGACGCUGAGGAACGAAAGCUAGGGGAGCAAACA